Molecule: ribosomal RNA, 558 nt
Filed under: uncultured archaeon
Lineage: Archaea
Description: bacterial SSU rRNA
Rfam family: Archaeal small subunit ribosomal RNA
Source: RNAcentral
CCCUACGGGGUGCAGCAGGCGCGAACACUUUACAAUGCGGGAAACCGCGAUAAGGGAACCCCGAGUGCCAGCAUCAAAUGUUGGCUGUCCGGAUGAUUAAAAAUCAUUUGUUAGCAAGGGCCGGGCAAGACCGGUGCCAGCCGCCGCGGUAACACCGGCGGCCCGAGUGGUAGCCGUUUUUAUUGGGUCUAAAGGGUCCGUAGCCGGCCUGAUAAGUCCUUUGGGAAAUCUGGCAGCUUAACUGUCAGGCUUCUAAGGGAUACUGUCAGGCUUGGGACCGGAAGGGGUAAGGGGUACUCCAGGGGUAGGAGUGAAAUCUUGUAAUCCCUGGGGGACCAUCUGUGGCGAAGGCGCCUUACCAGAACGGGUCCGACGGUGAGGGACGAAAGCUAGGGGAGCAAACCGGAUUAGAUACCCGGGUAGUCCUAGCUGUAAACGAUGCUCGCUAGGUGUCAGACACGGUGCGACCGUGUUUGGUGCCGCAGGGAAGCCGUUAAGCGAGCCACCUGGGAAGUACGGUCGCAAGGCUGAAACUUAAAGGAAUUGGCGGGGGAGCAC